Molecule: ribosomal RNA, 464 nt
Filed under: uncultured bacterium
Lineage: Bacteria
Description: partial 16S ribosomal RNA
Rfam family: Bacterial small subunit ribosomal RNA
Source: RNAcentral
GACGAACGCUGGCGGCGUGCUUAACACAUGCAAGUCGAACGGUAAGGCCCUUUCUGGGUUACACGAGUGGCGAACGGGUGAGUAACACGUGGGUGAUCUGCCCUGCACUUUGGGAUAAGCCUGUGCAACUGGGUCUAAUACCUGAUAGGACUACGCGAUGCAUGUCGUGUGGUGGAAAGCUUUUGCGGUGUGGGAUGGGCCCGCGGCCUAUCAGCUUGUUGGUGGGGUGAUGGCCUACCAAGGCGACGACGGGUAGCCGGCCUGAGAGGGUGUCCGGCCACACUGGGACUGAGAUACGGCCCAGACUCCUACGGGAGGCAGCAGUGGGGAAUAUUGCACAAUGGGCGCAAGCCUGAUGCAGCGACGCCGCGUGGGGGAUGACGGCCUUCGGGUUGUAAACCCCUUUCAGCACAGACGAAGCGUAAGUGACGGUAUGUGCAGAAGAAGCACCGGCCAACUACGUG